UGGGGAAUUUUGGACAAUGGGCGAAAGCCUGAUCCAGCAAUGCCGCGUGUGUGAAGAAGGCCUUCGGGUUGUAAAGCACUUUUGUCCGGAAAGAAAUCCUUGGCUCUAAUACAGUCGGGGGAUGACGGUACCGGAAGAAUAAGCACCGGCUAACUACGUGCCAGCAGCCGCGGUAAUACGUAGGGUGCAAGCGUUAAUCGGAAUUACUGGGCGUAAAGCGUGCGCAGGCGGUUUGCUAAGACCGAUGUGAAAUCCCCGGGCUCAACCUGGGAACUGCAUUGGUGACUGGCAGGCUAGAGUAUGGCAGAGGGGGGUAGAAUUCCACAUGUAGCAGUGAAAUGCGUAGAGAUGUGGAGGAAUACCGAUGGCGAAGGCAGCCCCCUGGGCCAAUACUGACGCUCAUGCACGAAAGCGUGGGGAGCAAACAGGAUUAGAUACCCUGGUAGUCCACGCCCUAAAACGAUGUCAACUAGUUGUUGGGGAUUCAUUUCCUUAGUAACGUAGCUAA
This 508-nucleotide ribosomal RNA is filed under the name uncultured bacterium. RNAcentral describes it as "partial 16S ribosomal RNA". It matches the Rfam family "Bacterial small subunit ribosomal RNA", at positions 355 to 855 of the family's 1533-position model. The record is from RNAcentral.